This is a long non-coding RNA of Bufo gargarizans (Asiatic toad), 211 nucleotides long. RefSeq lists it as uncharacterized. NCBI's taxonomy places the organism in Eukaryota, Metazoa, Chordata, Amphibia, Anura, Bufonidae. The record is from RefSeq and is a predicted model, not a curated record. The transcript has 3 exons.
UGACGGCUGACAUGCUCGAUGCUCCACCCUAUAUAUAAAUCCUUAUGAUCAGCCGCCUGCUGCCAGGGGACUCUCUGAAGCCAUACCUCACCUAUAUAAAGGCACGAGGUAACUCUCCAACAUGAAUGAAGAAUUCCAGACUGAGGGAUUAAUGCUAUUUUGGAUCAGGAUUGCAGCUCGUACAGCUCUCCCUUGGAUCUUCAUGUUCUGG